RNAcentral lists this ribosomal RNA (299 nucleotides) under Levilactobacillus brevis. RNAcentral's name for it is "Lactobacillus brevis partial 16S ribosomal RNA". It matches the Rfam family "Bacterial small subunit ribosomal RNA", at positions 394 to 687 of the family's 1533-position model. The record is from RNAcentral. Lineage: Bacteria; Bacillati; Bacillota; Bacilli; Lactobacillales; Lactobacillaceae.
AUGCCGCGUGAGUGAGAGGGUUUCGGCUCGUAAAACUCUGUUGUUAAAGAAGAACACCUUUGAGAGUAACUGUUCAAGGGUUGACGGUAUUUAACCAGAAAGCCACGGCUAACUACGUGCCAGCAGCCGCGGUAAUACGUAGGUGGCAAGCGUUGUCCGGAUUUAUUGGGCGUAAAGCGAGYGCAGGCGGUUUUUUAAGUCUGAUGUGAAAGCCUUCGGCUUAACCGGAGAAGUGCAUCGGAAACUGGGAGACUUGAGUGCAGAAGAGGACAGUGGAACUCCAUGUGUAGCGGUGGAAU